Non-coding RNA from Caenorhabditis elegans, 21 nucleotides. Lineage: Eukaryota; Metazoa; Nematoda; Chromadorea; Rhabditida; Rhabditidae. The record is from Ensembl.
UUGAAAUCGUUUUCUGUGUGC